Molecule: ribosomal RNA, 253 nt
Filed under: uncultured bacterium
Lineage: Bacteria
Description: partial 16S ribosomal RNA
Rfam family: Bacterial small subunit ribosomal RNA
Source: RNAcentral
UACGGAGGGGGCUAGCGUUGUUCGGAAUUACUGGGCGUAAAGCGCACGUAGGCGGCUUUGCAAGUUAGAGGUGAAAGCCCGGGGCUCAACUCCGGAAUUGCCUUUAAAACUGCAUCGCUAGAAUUGUGGAGAGGUAAGUGGAAUUCCGAGUGUAGAGGUGAAAUUCGUAGAUAUUCGGAAGAACACCAGUGGCGAAGGCGACUCACUGGACACGUAUUGACGCUGAGGCGCGAAAGCGUGGGGAGCAAACAGG